CCUACGGGUGGCAGCAGUGAGGAAUAUUGGUCAAUGGGCGCAAGCCUGAACCAGCCAAGUCGCGUGAGGGAUGAUGGUCCUAUGGAUUGUAAACCUCUUUUGUCGGGGAGCAAGGCCCGCCACGUGUGGCGGGAAGGAGAGUACCCGAAGAAAAAGCAUCGGCUAACUCCGUGCCAGCAGCCGCGGUAAUACGGAGGAUGCGAGCGUUAUCCGGAUUUAUUGGGUUUAAAGGGUGCGCAGGCGGGAGAUCAAGUCAGCGGUAAAAUGUCGGGGCUCAACCCCGGCCGGCCGUUGAAACUGGUUUUCUAGAGUUGGAGAGAAGUAUGCGGAAUUCGUGGUGUAGCGGUGAAAUGCAUAGAUAUCACGAAGAACUCCGAUUGCGAAGGCAGCAUACCGGCUCCAUACUGACGCUGAGGCACGAAAGCGUGGGGAUCGAACAGGAUUAGAUACCCGGGUAGUC
RNAcentral lists this ribosomal RNA (460 nucleotides) under uncultured bacterium. Its description in RNAcentral is "partial 16S ribosomal RNA". It matches the Rfam family "Bacterial small subunit ribosomal RNA", at positions 338 to 795 of the family's 1533-position model. The record is from RNAcentral.